This 507-nucleotide ribosomal RNA is filed under the name uncultured bacterium. Its description in RNAcentral is "bacterial SSU rRNA". It matches the Rfam family "Bacterial small subunit ribosomal RNA", at positions 20 to 523 of the family's 1533-position model. The record is from RNAcentral.
UGGCUCAGGAUGAACGCUGGCGGCGUGCUUAACACAUGCAAGUCGAACGGAGGACCCUUGACGGAGUUUUCGGACAACUGAUAGGAAUCCUUAGUGGCGGACGGGUGAGUAACGCGUGAGGAACCUGCCUUGGAGUGGGGAAUAACAGCUGGAAACAGCUGCUAAUACCGCAUGAUGCAUUUGGGUCGCAUGAUUCUGAAUGCCAAAGAUUUAUCGCUCUGAGAUGGCCUCGCGUCUGAUUAGCUAGUUGGUGGGGUAACGGCUCACCAAGGCGACGAUCAGUAGCCGGACUGAGAGGUUGGCCGGCCACAUUGGGACUGAGACACGGCCCAGACUCCUACGGGAGGCAGCAGUGGGGAAUAUUGGGCAAUGGGCGCAAGCCUGACCCAGCAACGCCGCGUGAAGGAAGAAGGCCCUCGGGUUGUAAACUUCUUUUAUCAGGGACGAAGCAAGUGACGGUACCUGAUGAAUAAGCCACGGCUAACUACGUGCCAGCAGCCGCGGUAA